UUAAGCGACUAAGCGUACACGGUGGAUGCCCUGGCAGUCAGAGGCGAUGAAGGACGUGCUAAUCUGCGAAAAGCGUCGGUAAGGUGAUAUGAACCGUUAUAACCGGCGAUGUCCGAAUGGGGAAACCCAGUGCAAUUCGUUGCACUAUCGUUAACUGAAUACAUAGGUUAACGAGGCGAACCGGGGGAACUGAAACAUCUAAGUACCCCGAGGAAAAGAAAUCAACCGAGAUUCCCCCAGUAGCGGCGAGCGAACGGGGAGCAGCCCAGAGUCUGAAUCAGCUUGUGUGUUAGUGGAACGGUCUGGAAAGUCCGACGGUACAGGGUGAUAGUCCCGUACACCAAAAUGCACAGGUUGUGAACUCGAAGAGUAGGGCGGGACACGUGGUAUCCUGUCUGAAUAUGGGGGGACCAUCCUCCAAGGCUAAAUACUCCUGACUGACCGAUAGUGAACCAGUACCGUGAGGGAAAGGCGAAAAGAACCCCGGCGAGGGGAGUGAAAAAGAACCUGAAACCGUGUACGUACAAGCAGUGGGAGCACCUUCGGGUGUGACUGCGUACCUUUUGUAUAAUGGGUCAGCGACUUAUAUUCUGUAGCAAGGUUAACCGUAUAGGGGAGCCGCAGGGAAACCGAGUCUUAACUGGGCGUUAAGUUGCAGGGUAUAGACCCGAAACCCGGUGAUCUAGCCAUGGGCAGGUUGAAGGUUGGGUAACACUAACUGGAGGACCGAACCGACUAAUGUUGAAAAAUUAGCGGAUGACUUGUGGCUGGGGGUGAAAGGCCAAUCAAACCGGGAGAUAGCUGGUUCUCCCCGAAAGCUAUUUAGGUAGCGCCUCGUGAACUCAUCUUCGGGGGUAGAGCACUGUUUCGGCUAGGGGGUCAUCCCGACUUACCAACCCGAUGCAAACUACGAAUACCGAAGAAUGUUAUCACGGGAGACACACGGCGGGUGCUAACGUCCGUCGUGAAGAGGGAAACAACCCAGACCGCCAGCUAAGGUCCCAAAGUCAUGGUUAAGUGGGAAACGAUGUGGGAAGGCACAGACAGCCAGGAUGUUGGCUUAGAAGCAGCCAUCAUUUAAAGAAAGCGUAAUAGCUCACUGGUCGAGUCGGCCUGCGCGGAAGAUGUAACGGGGCUAAACCAUGCACCGAAGCUGCGGCAGCGACACUAUGUGUUGUUGGGUAGGGGAGCGUUCUGUAAGCCUGCGAAGGUGACCUGUGAGGGUUGCUGGAGGUAUCAGAAGUGCGAAUGCUGACAUAAGUAACGAUAAAGCGGGUGAAAAGCCCGCUCGCCGGAAGACCAAGGGUUCCUGUCCAACGUUAAUCGGGGCAGGGUGAGUCGACCCCUAAGGCGAGGCCGAAAGGCGUAGUCGAUGGGAAACAGGUUAAUAUUCCUGUACUUGGUGUUACUGCGAAGGGGGGACGGAGAAGGCUAUGUUAGCCGGGCGACGGUUGUCCCGGUUUAAGCAUGUAGGCUGGUUAUCCAGGCAAAUCCGGAUAAUCAAGGCUGAGGUGUGAUGACGAGGUACUACGGUGCUGAAGUAACAAAUGCCCUGCUUCCAGGAAAAGCCUCUAAGCAUCAGGUAACAUCAAAUCGUACCCCAAACCGACACAGGUGGUCAGGUAGAGAAUACCAAGGCGCUUGAGAGAACUCGGGUGAAGGAACUAGGCAAAAUGGUGCCGUAACUUCGGGAGAAGGCACGCUGGUGUGUAGGUGAAGCCCCUGCGGGUGGAGCUGAGACCAGUCGAAGAUACCAGCUGGCUGCAACUGUUUAUUAAAAACACAGCACUGUGCAAACACGAAAGUGGACGUAUACGGUGUGACGCCUGCCCGGUGCCGGAAGGUUAAUUGAUGGGGUUAUCCGUAAGGAGAAGCUCUUGAUCGAAGCCCCGGUAAACGGCGGCCGUAACUAUAACGGUCCUAAGGUAGCGAAAUUCCUUGUCGGGUAAGUUCCGACCUGCACGAAUGGCGUAAUGAUGGCCAGGCUGUCUCCACCCGAGACUCAGUGAAAUUGAACUCGCUGUGAAGAUGCAGUGUACCCGCGGCAAGACGGAAAGACCCCGUGAACCUUUACUAUAGCUUGACACUGAACAUUGAGCCUUGAUGUGUAGGAUAGGUGGGAGGCUUUGAAGCGUGGACGCCAGUCUGCGUGGAGCCAACCUUGAAAUACCACCCUUUAAUGUUUGAUGUUCUAACGUGGGCCCCUAAUCGGGGUUGCGGACAGUGUCUGGUGGGUAGUUUGACUGGGGCGGUCUCCUCCCAAAGCGUAACGGAGGAGCACGAAGGUUAGCUAAUCCUGGUCGGACAUCAGGAGGUUAGUGCAAUGGCAUAAGCUAGCUUGACUGCGAGCGUGACGGCGCGAGCAGGUGCGAAAGCAGGUCAUAGUGAUCCGGUGGUUCUGAAUGGAAGGGCCAUCGCUCAACGGAUAAAAGGUACUCCGGGGAUAACAGGCUGAUACCGCCCAAGAGUUCAUAUCGACGGCGGUGUUUGGCACCUCGAUGUCGGCUCAUCACAUCCUGGGGCUGAAGUAGGUCCCAAGGGUAUGGCUGUUCGCCAUUUAAAGUGGUACGCGAGCUGGGUUUAGAACGUCGUGAGACAGUUCGGUCCCUAUCUGCCGUGGGCGCUGGAGAAUUGAGGGGGGCUGCUCCUAGUACGAGAGGACCGGAGUGGACGCAUCACUGGUGUUCGGGUUGUCAUGCCAAUGGCACUGCCCGGUAGCUAAAUGCGGAAGAGAUAAGUGCUGAAAGCAUCUAAGCACGAAACUUGCCCCGAGAUGAGUUCUCCCUGAGACUUUAAGUCUCCUGAAGGAACGUUGAAGACGACGACGUUGAUAGGCCGGGUGUGUAAGCGCAGCGAUGCGUUGAGCUAACCGGUACUAAUGAACCGUGAGGCUUAACCU
This 2899-nucleotide ribosomal RNA is filed under the name Klebsiella pneumoniae. RNAcentral's name for it is "bacterial LSU rRNA". It matches the Rfam family "Bacterial large subunit ribosomal RNA". The record is from RNAcentral. Lineage: Bacteria; Pseudomonadati; Pseudomonadota; Gammaproteobacteria; Enterobacterales; Enterobacteriaceae. RNAcentral also lists the same sequence under 1 other name.